Molecule: ribosomal RNA, 344 nt
Filed under: uncultured bacterium
Lineage: Bacteria
Description: bacterial SSU rRNA
Rfam family: Bacterial small subunit ribosomal RNA
Source: RNAcentral
GAUGAACGCUGGCGGCGUGCCUAACACAUGCAAGUCGAACGAGGCAAAUAAGAUGAAGUUUUCGGAUGGAUUCUUAUUUACCGAGUGGCGGACGGGUGAGUAACGCGUGGGUAACCUGCCUCAUACAGGGGGAUAACGAUUGGAAACGAUUGCUAAUACCGCAUAAGCGCACAGUACCACAUGGUGCAGUGUGAAAAACUCCGGUGGUAUGAGAUGGACCCGCGUCUGAUUAGCUAGUUGGUGGGGCAAACGGCCUACCAAGGCGACGAUCAGUAGCCGGUACUGAGAGGAUGAACGGCCACAUUGGGACUGAGACAGGCCCAGACUCCUACGGGAGCAGCAGU